CUCUGAGCCUCUUCCUCCAAUCCAAAAGCAAAUAAAUGCUGAAAGAAAGAAAACUCUCUCCCUUCAGCACACGGGGCCUCUAAGACUGAAAAAUGAAGGUGACUGUAAGAGCUCUGAUGAACCUGUUUGGACAACAGACAGCAACAAAUACCUGUCUCAGUGGAGGAGUUUAAGAGCACUGCAGAGAUCCUCAGACAGUACAGAAUAUCUUGGCUUACAGAGGCCACUGUCUUUAUCGCAAAACAAUACCAGCCAGGCUUCCUCGCUACCUACAGCUGAAGUACUGCAGGAACAGGAGGGCAAUACUUGUUACAGCUUCUAAACUUGAAUUUCCUUGUAUUAUUUAAAAAAAAAAAAAAAAAGCAAGCAAGCAAGCAAGCAAGCACCUGAAUUCUAAGAAAGAUGAGGUAUUUGAUUCCAAGGAAGAAAACUAUACACGGCAGGUUGAAGCGACAGAGGCAGUCCUGACUGUUUUUUCUCCAUCCAGCUACUUUAAUUAUGGCCCUUCAAAACCAGCUAUUCCUGUGGAUCAGCGCGUAAAGCGAUACUGCGAACAUAUUGAACCAUCCAUCGACCCUCCGUGCUGAGGCCUGUCAGUGCAGAAUGGCUGCAGGGAGUCUUAGUCUGUUCCCCCGUCCCAGGAGAGCACUAUGCAGAGUGGAGCAAAUCCCUCCAGGAUUUAACACAGUGGAUGAUUGAUUGUACCCGCCAGCUGGCUAAUAUCAUAAUUAACAAAGUUGCUACCAUGUCUGAGAAGUUUAAUCGAAAAAAUUGCCAGCAGUAUGAUGCCAUUGUCACAGAGAUCACAAGCACUGCAGUGUCGACUUUUGUACUAGUGGAGCUGCAGGACUAUGUAGAUGUGCUGAGAAGUCGUUCACUGGUGUAACUAAAGUGAGAUGUGAUUGCAGACGCCGUGUGAUUGGGCUCUGGUAGGAUGGGUCAGUAGCAGCCUGACUUCACUCUGCUCGUCACCGGUGGAGCAGCCAUGGCGCAGGGAUGCCGAACUUAAGAGCAGCUGCGGGAAACUAAUCUUUACAUGCAGGAAGGUCAGCAGUAACUCAUGGAAAUACAUCGGUGAGGUUUAGCUGGUGGAUCACAUUGUGAAAUCUGCAGCUGUGAAAGGCCUUCCAUUUAUUGCACCCUUCAAAACGAAAUAUUAGCAUGGGAGGCUAAGCUGGGAAUUACGGUGUAGUGUCUUCAAGUUCUGGUUCACAAGUACCUCCGUGACAGUACAAGGAGAGCUGUCAAUAAGGAAUGGAGGCUAAUAACGAAGGAGUCAGUGAAGGAGACCAAUGCCAUGAGGGUUAUCUUGCAGCCCCAGAUGCUGGAUAAGUUGAAGGAGGCAGACUCGCUUUUGGAUGACAUUCAGGAAGGCCUUGAAUGAUUAUUUGGCGAAGAAAAGGCUAUUCUUUCCAAGGUUUUUGUCUUGAUGCAACAAAGAUCGCUCAGGAAUCCUUUUUGACACAAAGGAUCCACUCCACGUCCAACCACACCUAAAGAAAUGCUUUGAAGGAGUUGCCAAGCUCACUUUUAAUCAUGAGAAAGAAAUUACCCACAUGGAGUCAGCAGAAAAUGAAAAAGUAGAGCUCGUGCUGCGAAUAAUUCCAGCAAGUGCCAAGGGGCUAGUUGAGAAAUGGCUUCAUGAGUGUAUGAUCAUCCAGCAAGGAUGCAAACCUGGAACAGGCGGAAAUCUAUCAAUCAAUCAGCUUAGUCCUCUGCUAGAGAUUUUUGGUGCUAUCAUCAGCGGGGCUUGGCUCAGAAACCAGACCUGCAAAUGAAAUCAAGCUGAAGCUUUUUAGGAAAUCUGUCAGAGUGGAACCCAUACUUCAUUGAAAUCAAAACUACUAUCUACUUCACAAAGAUAAGUCUUCAUCUCAGAUGAUUAGGCUGAAUUUAUGACUCCUGCGGGUUGUGCAUGAUUUUUGAAUGCGCACAUGCACGUGUGAUUUUUGAACGCUCUGAGCUGAUGCUGUGUUCGUAGGUCCUUUAAAACAUUUCCUUCAGUUUUUCAGCUAGCCAGAAGAAAGAAUUUGCCCUUCAAAACAGAAUGCGAGGAAAUGUGCUACCCACAGAUCUUGACCCCAGCUUCAUAUCGCUCUCAUUUUAUAUAGCUAUGGGGCAACUGUUGCAAAUGGCAGUGGAGUUAUCUUCCCUUCCACAGGCUCGGAGGCUAGACACUCUUCUUUUAACUGGAAGAAGGUUUUAUGGCUCUGUAGUCCAGCAAGUCUGCUGAGCUCCUGUGCCUUUCCUCUUAAUUUCUUAGGACAGCUUUGCAAGUGGAAUUUGUAAUUGUAUCUGACUGUAUUUUGGUAUGUGAGACUCUGGUAAUUCCAUGGCUUUUGAACAGCUAGUGUCAAAACUGAUAUGCAGGAACAAUUAAUAUAGAUUUGAUACAUUGGCAUUAUGUAGCAUACCAAGCAUAACUGAUUUUUAGAGUUAUAGUGUAUUAUUCUUCUUAGCUGCUGCAUGUCUCUCCAUAAAUGAACAUGUAGGCACUAGACUCCAAAGGGAUCUAUAUUUUUUUAUAUACAUAUGUAUUUAUAUCAAGGUGCAUUUUUCUUCAUUCCUAUAUAUUUCCAUCAGUUCCAUCCACAUAUUUUCCAGGUAGCUUCAGAUUAUAAUGACUUCAAAAUUCUAUUUUAUUUUUAUUGAACUGAUUAGAGAAUGUGCAAAAUCUGGAAAAGGUACUACAUUGAGAUAUCGAUUGUUUCUUAUAUGUAACUAUAUAAAUGCAAGUAUCCAAGAAGUCACUACAGAUUGUAAUAACAUUAUAAUAGCUUUCAUUCCAGAAAGAAGUUUAGCAGCAAAGAUGAAAAAGUAUUUAAAACUUUGUUGAUAUGUAGCCCGGGAAGUCCUGCCCACUAAAGGGAGAUUUUGAUAUGUUGUAUAGAUACAAGUCUAAAAAUAUGAGGAUAUUUUGUUUCUCAGUUAUUCAAAAUAAGCAAUGUCUCCUUUCAGCCCAGCAGUGUCUUGGCUUGGACCCGUAUAGGAAGAUAACUGUGGUCAGUGCUCGGCUUGCUCCUUUAAGUGGGGAACAUGCUGUGAUUGCUUGCUUUGACUGGGCCAUAAAGAUGCUGCUAAAUUAUGUUGGCUUACAGCAGUUUGCCAUGUAAUGGUGAUACCCUUGAAAACAAACCAGCUCUACAAACAGUAUUUGUUCAUUCUUGCCAUUUUCUGUUUUUGUUGAUACCAUCCCAUACCGGCCAUCAUGCACAUGGGAUCAAAAAAGGAAAUGAGGAAGAAUAUAUUGCUUCCUACUGCUAUGGAUAUCAACUGUAAUUGAAGAUCCAGAGGCACCUGAGAGUUCUCUUUCUUCACUUUGUACUCCCUGAUCACUGAUUUAAAAGGAAGAGAGAUAUGAUUACACAUGAAGCAUGUAAGAAGCAUGCUUUUCUUUCCUGCAUGUGGAAGGCCAUUUAGGCACUCCUGGGGUUGUACUCCACAGCAAGCCGUUGACCUGCUGUACCGAGUCUGGCAUCAAGAGAUCCUUGUGACUGCGCUCCCACGUGACUGCAAUGAUCUGCAAGCUCGCUAGAUUUCUCUACAAACCUCUUCUCCUGCCCGGUUCUUCCACAAAGUGUGUGUGUAUGUAUAUGUGUGUGUAUGAACAGAUAGAAAUCAAGUUAACAGAUAUAAAGAUAAAAUAAUUAAACAUAUCAGUAGUGAAAACUAGUUGUGAGAACUACUUACCAGCCCUGAUUUAGUCUUUUGUCAAUGCUUAACUAUCCACAUUUUAUUAUCACUACUUUAUUCUCUGAAAAGGGACUUAAGGUGGGUUCUGGGUUUUUUUUUUUUGGUUCCACUAAUUUUUUAUCAGGUAUAUUCAGCAUGCUAAUAAUGAGAUAGGUUGUUCCUUUACUUUUCAGCUGUGAAAGCUGAGCCUAAACUCAGUUAGGCUCAGUUCCCACCUUUUAAUGAAUCCCUACUGGUAACAAUGGUUUGGCAGGAAAAAGGCCAGUGACACCAGGGCAACGUCAUUGACCGUAUGGGGUUAGCAUACGUGUGACAGAGGGGACCUUGGUAAGCAAUUCGGAUGGCAACAUGACGUAAGGUAGAAGAAAUCGAGUCUACCUAUCCCUUUGUCUGUGGCGCUCUCUCUUUCACUGUGUUGGCUCUUCCAGAAAAGUAACAUCUCUUUUUUUUUUAUAAGUGGAAAGUGCCUGUUUCACAUAGUCUUUUUCUGAAUGACAGCUGCAUUUUAGUUCCAUGUUCCUUGUUAGAGAAGCACUUUAAUAGGUCUAAUCAGUGUUAGAUUUGGGUUUUUUUGUUAUCUG
Molecule: non-coding RNA, 4274 nt
Organism: Struthio camelus australis
Lineage: Eukaryota; Metazoa; Chordata; Aves; Struthioniformes; Struthionidae
Source: RefSeq, a predicted model, not a curated record